This 682-nucleotide ribosomal RNA is filed under the name Thamnidium elegans. Its description in RNAcentral is "partial 28S ribosomal RNA". It matches the Rfam family "Eukaryotic large subunit ribosomal RNA", at positions 66 to 647 of the family's 3401-position model. Lineage: Eukaryota; Fungi; Mucoromycota; Mucoromycetes; Mucorales; Mucoraceae. The record is from RNAcentral.
UAACAAUGAUUUCCCUAGUAACGGCGAGUGAAGAGGAAAGAGCUCAAAGUUGGAACCUGUUUGGCUUAGCUAAACCGGAUUGUAAACUGUAGAAGUGUUUUCCAGACACGCCUGGUAAAAAAGUCCUUUGGAACAGGGCAUCAUAGAGGGUGAGAAUCCCGUCUUUGGCCAGAGCUGUUGUCUUUUGUGAUACAUUUUCAAAGAGUCAGGUUGUUUGGGAAUGCAGCCUAAAUUGGGUGGUAAAUCUCACCUAAAGCUAAAUAUUUGCGAGAGACCGAUAGCGAACAAGUACCGUGAGGGAAAGAUGAAAAGAACUUUGAAAAGAGAGUUAAACAGUAUGUGAAAUUGUUAAAAGGGAACCGGUUGGAGCCAGACUGGCUUGACUGUAAUCAAUCUAGGCUUCGGCCUGGAUGCACUUGCGGUUUAUGCCUGCCAACGACAAUUUUUUUUGAGGGAAAAAACUAUUAGGAAUGUGGCCCCCUUUCGGGGGGGUGUUAUAGCCUUUUAGAAAAUACCUUGAAUUGGAUUGAGGAACGCAGUGAAUGCCUUUAGGCAAGAUUGCUGGGCGCUUUCGCUAAUAAAUGCUAGAAUUUCUGCUUCGGGUGGUGCUAGUGUUUAAAGGAGAAACUCGUCUGGUAUAUUUUUUAUUCGCUUAGGUUGUUGGCUUAAUGACUCUAAAUGA